This is a long non-coding RNA of Loxodonta africana (African savanna elephant), 311 nucleotides long. RefSeq lists it as uncharacterized. The transcript is spliced from 2 exons. The record is from RefSeq and is a predicted model, not a curated record. Lineage: Eukaryota; Metazoa; Chordata; Mammalia; Proboscidea; Elephantidae.
GCGGGCCCUGGUCGGACUAGGCUGCGCCGGCGAGUAAACAAGGAGAAAAGCGAAGCUCACAAAGACUCGGCGUGGAUGUGGGGUCUGCUAACUCCACUUCUAGCAACUCAUCCUUGGGAAAUGAUUCCUCGCGACCAAGAUCUAUUCAAGAGGGCCCUCACUGUGGUCACUUCGUGACAGCAUGGUCCACUGACAGUGUAGAGCGUUCCUUACUCGUUAUAAAUGGUCUGUACACGACUGGGAGGAAAUAGAACUGCCAACAAGGCUUCUCUCCAAGGGUCCACAAUAAAGGACUUUUGUGUUUUUCUUGA